GACGAACGCUGGCGGCGUGCCUAAUACAUGCAAGUCGAGCGGAUGGAAGGAAGCUUGCUUCCUAAAGUCAGCGGCGGACGGGUGAGUAACACGUGGGCAACCUGCCCCUAAGAUCGGGAUAACUUCGGGAAACCGGAGCUAAUACCGGAUAUGAUUAUGUCUCACAUGAGACAUGAUGGAAAGACGGUUUCGGCUGUCACUUAGGGAUGGGCCCGCGGUGCAUUAGCUAGUUGGUGAGGUAACGGCUCACCAAGGCGACGAUGCGUAGCCGACCUGAGAGGGUGAUCGGCCACACUGGGACUGAGACACGGCCCAGACUCCUACGGGAGGCAGCAGUAGGGAAUCUUCCGCAAUGGACGAAAGUCUGACGGAGCAACGCCGCGUGAGUGAAGAAGGUUUUCGGAUCGUAAAACUCUGUUGUUAGGGAAGAACAAGUACGAGAGUAACUGCUCGUACCUUGACGGUACCUAACCAGAAAGCCACGGCUAACUACGUGCCAGCCGCCGCGGUAA
This 512-nucleotide ribosomal RNA is filed under the name uncultured bacterium. RNAcentral describes it as "partial 16S ribosomal RNA". It matches the Rfam family "Bacterial small subunit ribosomal RNA", at positions 28 to 523 of the family's 1533-position model. The record is from RNAcentral.